Long non-coding RNA from Saimiri boliviensis boliviensis (Bolivian squirrel monkey), 388 nucleotides. RefSeq lists it as uncharacterized. Lineage: Eukaryota; Metazoa; Chordata; Mammalia; Primates; Cebidae. The record is from RefSeq and is a predicted model, not a curated record.
UAAAGGCCAUGAAGGCUGAGGUAGGUUGUUGGCAAAGGAAGCUCCAGCUGAAAGAGAACGUCGCAGUCUUGAUUAAAAGAGAUUUAAGAGAUACCAAAUUAAGAAUUCCAAAGAAGAUAGAAAUGGGGUUAGGAAGGGAAUUUUUUCCCUCUUGCUUCUUAUCUUCCUUCUCCGCUUCAAGGUAUGUUGUGCUACUGUGUGAAUCUACAAGGGAGGAAUCAGACUUCGUCUUUUUUCUAAAGACAGAGCAAGACCUUUGUGUUUUAGAUCUACAGUGUCUUAGAGAGCAGCUAGGUCAAUGGUUGUCAAAUUGCUCUGGGAAGCCCCACAUGGGGGCAAUACUUCAAGAGACUGCGUGGCUAAAGAUGGAGUCUUGCUCUUCUGCCCA